RNAcentral lists this ribosomal RNA (216 nucleotides) under Glomeromycotina sp. Its description in RNAcentral is "partial small subunit ribosomal RNA". The stretch from base 40 to 216 matches the Rfam family "Eukaryotic small subunit ribosomal RNA", at positions 686 to 864 of the family's 1831-position model. The record is from RNAcentral. Lineage: Eukaryota; Fungi; Glomeromycota.
GGGUCAGUAGGUUGGUCGUGCCACCGGUACGUACUGGUCUCACUGAUUCCUCCUUCCUGAAGAACCGUAAUGCCAUUAAUUUGGUGUUGCGGGGAAACAGGACUGUUACUUUGAAAAAUUUAGAGUGUUUAAAGCAAGCUGACGCUUGAAUACAUUAGCAUGGAAUAAUGAAAUAGGACGAUCGAUCCUAUUUUGUUGGUUUCUAGGAUUGACGUA